Long non-coding RNA from Fukomys damarensis (Damara mole-rat), 1723 nucleotides. The record is from Ensembl. Lineage: Eukaryota; Metazoa; Chordata; Mammalia; Rodentia; Bathyergidae.
GCUCUGUCUCAGAACAAACAAAAGGCAAAAAAAUGAUGUUGCCUUUGUAAGAAGGACUUAAAGUCCUUAACACAAGGAAUUUACUGUAUUUAAGAGGUCGGUAAUGGUAAUGUAUAUUUGUAAUCUUUAUCUCUAUGUACCAACUUUAACCUACCUCACACAUAUAUGGUGUACUUCCCUGCAAAGAGCUAAAUUAUUAAAGGUACUUAGACCAGGGAAAGUCUGGAUAAUUUGGAACACAUUCUAAUGGGAGAGAGCUUAUAAUUUAAAUUUCUUCAGAGGAUCAGCGGGCUCAGGAGAAGUAAUCAAGAGAAUACAGUCAGACAUGAUCAACACCAAGACCCCCAUCUCUGCUAGAAAUAUUCCAACAUUUUGUCUAUUUUAAAUCACCUAGAGUAAGCUAAACCAGAACACAGAACUAUACUCUCCUGAACAAAAUUUCAAAAUGGCUUACAAAGAUAAUUUCAAAAUGACUUCCAGGAAACUUUUCAGUUGAAACAUACAUAAAAAUAUUGGAAAAGACCUACAUCGAGCAGGACAUCUCAGGCUUGAUCAGAAAACAACCUGUGUGGUCUCUUCUGGGGUCACCGGGUAAGGAAGAAAGGUGCAGCAGAUGGCAGGUGAAGCAGGCAGCCACAGCAUCGCCUGUCACUUGCCUUCGGACCCGGGCCACCACUGCCCUAUCUUCACAUCUCCCCUCUGGAGCCGAGUGUCCGCGGCAGCAACCACCACAGCAUCGCAGGACAGUGAGGAAAGCAGAGGCAGCCCAGGACGGGAGUGAGCAUGCUCUCUGCCCUCAUCCCCAGGUUUUGUCUCACUUUGCCCCUCCCGUGUUUAUCUUUUCCCCAUACAUUUACCCUGUCACAUCAUUUAACUGCAGUUUCUGUGCCCCUGCUGUUUACCCUUCCCCUUCCCCUUGUACUCCUCUUCAUCUCUCCAUUAUAGCCAAGCCUCUUGCCCUCCUGAGGCACAGGCCUCAUCACUCACUCACUUUGGCCCUUGACGUCCUGCUAUUGUAAUAAGCACAGCUGUUCACACUGUUUUAAGACAGCUACCCAAGGAUUUAGGGGUCCUAUCAACCUUUACAAUCUUUGUUACCAUUGAAAAAAGGUUUUAUUCUGCAGAAGAGAAAUCUUUUCCAGUGUGGUAUCUUAUACAUGGUUGUUUAUACUAAGUAAAUGCCCUGAUAAUCUAGAUUCGGAAGGACAGACCUCUAAACUUCAGAGAUAGACAAAGAUUAUAAGGAUUUUCACUGUAGGUCAUUUAGGAAAUUAAUAAUCUAGUGUUCAAAUUUGAGAAGCGGAAAGUAACCUCAGUGUGUGUACACCAUCGGCUUCACGGAAUCUGGGUGGCACCUGUGCCAGCAGUGUGGGUUCUUACCCUGCCCUCCUCCUUCCCCACCUGCCUCUCCUGCAGGAAAACAGAAAGAACUUCAGAAAUAAGAGUCAGUGGAGCACGGUGGCACACGCCUGCAAACUCAGCCCUCAGGAAGCUGAGGCAGGAAGAUCGCUGCGAGUUUGAUUCCUGGACUACACAGUUAGUCUAAGACCAGCCUAAACUACAUAGCUAGACUGACCCUGUCUUAAAAAAAAAAAAAAAAUCAAGAGCAAAAAAAAAUGUUAAAUAAUUACAAACCACGUAUCUCAGCUCCCAGUAACUGUCAGCUAAUUUUUAAAAAGGACUUCCCACACAACCUGAUAAACAGUAAUGGGUUAGGUCUCAC